CCUACGGGAGGCAGCAGUGGGGGAUAUUGCACAAUGGGGGGAACACUGAUGCAGCGACGCCGCGUGGGUGAAGGAGUGCUUCGGCAUGUAAAGCCCUAUCUGCAGGGAAGAAGCAAGACGGUACCUGACUAAGAAGCCCCGGCUAACUACGUGCCAGCAGCCGCGGUCAUACGUAGGGGGCGAGCGUUAUCCGGAUUCACUGGGUGUAACGGGAGCGUAGACGGCCAUGGAAGCCAGGGGUGAAAGCUCGGGGCCCCAACCCGGGACUGCCCUUGGAACUGGAUGGCUGGAGUGCGGGAGGGGCAGGCGGAAUUCGUGGGGUAGCGGUGAAAUGCGUAGAUAUCAGGAGGAACACCGGCGGCGAAGGCGGCAUGCUGGACCGCGACUGACGUUGAGGCUCGAAAGCGUGGGGAGCGAACAGGAUUAGAUACCCUUGUAGUC
This 441-nucleotide ribosomal RNA is filed under the name uncultured bacterium. Its description in RNAcentral is "partial 16S ribosomal RNA". It matches the Rfam family "Bacterial small subunit ribosomal RNA", at positions 338 to 795 of the family's 1533-position model. The record is from RNAcentral.